CCUACGGGAGGCUGCAGUGGGGAAUAUUGGACAAUGGGCGAAAGCCUGAUCCAGCCAUGCCGCGUGUGUGAAGAAGGCCUUCGGGUUGUAAAGCACUUUCAGUGGGGAAGAAAGCCUUGUGGCUAAUACCCUCGAGGAAGGACAUCACCCACAGAAGAAGCACCGGCUAACUCCGUGCCAGCAGCGGCGGUAAUACGGAGGGUGCGAGCGUUAAUCGGAAUUACUGGGCGUAAAGCGCGCGUAGGCGGUCUGAUAAGCCGGUUGUGAAAGCCCCGGGCUCAACCUGGGAACGGCAUCCGGAACUGUCAGGCUAGAGUGCAGGAGAGGAAGGUAGAAUUCCCGGUGUAGCGGUGAAAUGCGUAGAGAUCGGGAGGAAUACCAGUGGCGAAGGCGGCCUUCUGGACUGACACUGACGCUGAGGUGCGAAAGCGUGGGUAGCAAACAGGAUUAGAUACCCUGGUAGUC
Molecule: ribosomal RNA, 465 nt
Filed under: Vreelandella stevensii
Lineage: Bacteria; Pseudomonadati; Pseudomonadota; Gammaproteobacteria; Oceanospirillales; Halomonadaceae
Description: partial 16S ribosomal RNA
Rfam family: Bacterial small subunit ribosomal RNA
Source: RNAcentral